GACGAACGCUGGCGGCGUGCUUAACACAUGCAAGUCGAACGGAAAGGCCCUGCUUUUGUGGGGUGCUCGAGUGGCGAACGGGUGAGUAACACGUGAGUAACCUGCCCUUGAUUUUGGGAUAACUUCAGGAAACUGGGGCUAAUAUCGGAUAGGAGCCCCUGCUGCAUGGAGGGGGUUGGAAAGUUUCGGCGUUCGGGGAUGGACUCGCGGCUUAUCAGCUUGUUGGUGGGGUAGUGGCUUACCAAGGCUGUGACGGGUAGCCGGCCUGAGAGGGUGACCGGCCACAUUGGGACUGCGGUACGGACCAGAGUCCUACGGGAGGCAGUAGGGGGAAAUAUUGAACAGUCAGAGCGAGCCUGAUGCGGCAGCGCCGGGUGUGGGAUGACGGCCUUCGGGUUGUAAACAGCUUUCGCCUGUGACGAAGCGUGAGUGACGGUAAUGAGAGAAGAAGCACCGGCUAACUACGUG
This 468-nucleotide ribosomal RNA is filed under the name uncultured bacterium. Its description in RNAcentral is "partial 16S ribosomal RNA". It matches the Rfam family "Bacterial small subunit ribosomal RNA", at positions 28 to 507 of the family's 1533-position model. The record is from RNAcentral.